Molecule: transfer RNA, 81 nt
Filed under: Paragonimus skrjabini miyazakii
Lineage: Eukaryota; Metazoa; Platyhelminthes; Trematoda; Plagiorchiida; Troglotrematidae
Description: Paragonimus miyazakii tRNA
Rfam family: tRNA
About the family: Transfer RNA (tRNA) molecules are approximately 80 nucleotides in length. Their secondary structure includes four short double-helical elements and three loops (D, anti-codon, and T loops). Further hydrogen bonds mediate the characteristic L-shaped molecular structure. tRNAs have two regions of fundamental functional importance: the anti-codon, which is responsible for specific mRNA codon recognition, and the 3' end, to which the tRNAs corresponding amino acid is attached (by aminoacyl-tRNA synthetases). tRNAs cope with the degeneracy of the genetic code in two manners: having more than one tRNA (with a specific anti-codon) for a particular amino acid; and 'wobble' base-pairing, i.e. permitting non-standard base-pairing at the 3rd anti-codon position.
Source: Rfam by way of RNAcentral
GGCUUCGUUGCUCAGCUGGAAAAGCGCUUGCCACGUUGAGGCAUAGUGUUUCUGUCGCUGGUUCGAAUCCAGCCGAAGCCC